RNAcentral lists this ribosomal RNA (346 nucleotides) under Tomentella sp. AFTOL-ID 1016. Its description in RNAcentral is "SSU rRNA". It matches the Rfam family "Eukaryotic small subunit ribosomal RNA", at positions 594 to 945 of the family's 1831-position model. The record is from RNAcentral. Lineage: Eukaryota; Fungi; Basidiomycota; Agaricomycetes; Thelephorales; Thelephoraceae.
AUAGCGUAUAUUAAAGUUGUUGCAGUUAAAAAGCUCGUAGUUGAACUUCAGACCUGGCCGGACGGUCUGCCUAACGGUAUGUACUGUCUGGCUGGGCCUUACCUCUUGGUGAGCCGGCAUGCCCUUCACUGGGUGUGUUGGGGAACCAGGACUUUUACCUUGAGAAAAUUAGAGUGUUCAAAGCAGGCUUAUGCUCGAAUACAUUAGCAUGGAAUAAUAAAAUAGGACGUGCGGUUCUAUUUUGUUGGUUUCUAGAGUCGCCGUAAUGAUUAAUAGGGAUAGUCGGGGGCAUCAGUAUUCAAUUGUCAGAGGUGAAAUUCUUGGAUUUAUUGAAGACUAACUACUG